RNAcentral lists this long non-coding RNA (581 nucleotides) under Gouania willdenowi (blunt-snouted clingfish). RNAcentral's name for it is "lncRNA (ENSGWIG00000006196.1)". Lineage: Eukaryota; Metazoa; Chordata; Actinopteri; Blenniiformes; Gobiesocidae. The record is from RNAcentral.
GAUCGAAUAGAGCUUUCACACAGUUGCUCACACGGAGAGGAUUUACAUGUUUAUGGACAUUAUCUUCUCCAGUCGCCUUUACAAAGCAGACAUGAACGUUUCAAACUGCAUUUAAAUCUGACCGGCUAGCUCGCGCUCACUUACCCAGGACUAAUGUCUCCAUCUAUUUAGCUACUAAAGCCAAACUGAAGCUGUAAAAAUACUUGAGAACCUGACCUCAUCAUAAAGGGAGCGUCUCUGUUUGUUUUCUCCUUCACAGAAGAAGCGACGUCUCAGUCCCAGCAGAGAUAGUCCUGCCACAUUUUGGGGUCACUAACAGAGGGCUCACAGCCCACCCAGAAUGCAACUCACUGGCCUGUGAAAGCUGUGAAUCAACCUGUUGUCAUCAAAGGUAAUAAUUACAUGAUAGGUUUAUUUCAGAAAGUAUUUCCAAAGGAGCAUGAGGGUGCCACGGUGACAGAUGAAAGGUAAACAUCAACAACUGGAAAACAAAAAGAUGAGCUAAUGUAUCAGUUAUACCUCGCCGUGGGUUUUGGCGUCUCAAUGGGAAAAUGAAAUAAAACUUUGUUCUGUGAGUGGCA